This is a long non-coding RNA of Lagopus leucura (white-tailed ptarmigan), 648 nucleotides long. RefSeq lists it as uncharacterized. The transcript has 2 exons. The record is from RefSeq and is a predicted model, not a curated record. Lineage: Eukaryota; Metazoa; Chordata; Aves; Galliformes; Phasianidae.
UCUCAGUUUUGCUGUGUCACAGUGUUAGGAAGGGGUUUUGGUGUGUUCUGUUCUGUUCUGCUGCGUGUGGCCAACUUUCCAGAUUUUGGAGCGUGUUACUGGAAUACUCUUGGAGGUUCUGUACCUUCAAUGUAAUCUUCAGGAUGGAGAAUAGAAAAAAGUGCUACUGGAAUGUACAGAGUGGAGGAGAGGGAUGGUACAUCCAACUGGCUGUGGACUCAGCUCACAGCAAGUGCAUUUCUCAAGGAGUUUGGGUGCCUGGUUCACAGAUUGCAGCUGUCGUGGAGCGCACAUCACAAGGCUAUGCAUUAUGAAUGUGUCUGUCUUUUAACUUGAGGCACAGGAGGAGUACAAAGGCUCUUCAGGGCCCUCCCUAAAUGAAGGAAUGGCUGACUUUCUAAGCUUAUGUAAGUCAAAUCUUGGGCAUGCAAACAUCAGCACAACCUCUGGUGAGAGGUAUGUGGCUGUGACCUCUGUGCUAGCUGAUAUGGGAAAUUCUGGACUUGCAUUGUAGCCCUUUCUACAGUUCUGACUGUGAAGAUGAUAUGUACUAGAAAGAAGUGGGGCUCUUGUAACAGCUUUAAGGAAAUAAUGUUGUCCACUAUUUCUGCUUUCCCAAAAAUGCAAGAGUAAAAUUUAAAGCAUUUA